RNAcentral lists this ribosomal RNA (204 nucleotides) under uncultured bacterium. RNAcentral's name for it is "partial 16S ribosomal RNA". It matches the Rfam family "Bacterial small subunit ribosomal RNA", at positions 1297 to 1500 of the family's 1533-position model. The record is from RNAcentral.
AUUGUAGUCUGCAACCCGACUACAUGAAGCCGGAAUCGCUAGUAAUCGCGAAUCAGCAUGCCGCGGUGAAUACGUUCCCGGGCCUUGUACACACCGCCCGUCACACCAUGAGAGCCGGGAACACCCGAAGUCCGUAGUCUAACCGCAAGGAGGACGCGGCCGAAGGUGGGUUUGGUAAUUGGAGUGAAGUCGUAACAAGGUAGC